RNAcentral lists this ribosomal RNA (216 nucleotides) under Glomeromycotina sp. RNAcentral's name for it is "partial small subunit ribosomal RNA". The stretch from base 40 to 216 matches the Rfam family "Eukaryotic small subunit ribosomal RNA", at positions 686 to 864 of the family's 1831-position model. The record is from RNAcentral. Lineage: Eukaryota; Fungi; Glomeromycota.
GGGUCAGUAGGUUGGUCGUGCCACCGGUACGUACUGGUCUCACUGAUUCCUCCUUCCUGAAGAACCGUAAUGCCAUUAAUUUGGUGGUGCGGGGAAACGGGACUGUUACUUUGAAAAAAUUAGAGUGUUUAAAGCAAGCUAACGCUUGAAUACAUUAGCAUGGAAUAAUGAAAUAGGACGAUCGAUCCUAUUUUGUUGGUUUCUAGGAUUGACGUA